RNAcentral lists this ribosomal RNA (440 nucleotides) under uncultured bacterium. RNAcentral describes it as "partial 16S ribosomal RNA". It matches the Rfam family "Bacterial small subunit ribosomal RNA", at positions 338 to 795 of the family's 1533-position model. The record is from RNAcentral.
CCUACGGGUGGCAGCAGUGGGGGAUAUUGCACAAUGGGGGAAACCCUGAUGCAGCGACGCCGCGUGAGUGAAGAAGGAUUUCGGUAUGUAAAGCUCUAUCAGCAGGGAAGAAAAUGACAGUACCUGACCAAGAAGCCCCGGCUAACGACGAGCCAGCAGCCGCGGUAAUACGUAGUGGGCAAGCGUGAGCCGGAUUGACUGGGGGAAAAGGGAGCGGAGACGGUUUUGUAAGUCUGGAGUGAAAGCCCGGGGCCCAACCCCUGGACUGCUUUGGAAACUGUGUAACUGGAGUGCAGGAGGGGCAGGCGGCAUUCCUGGUGUAGCGGUGACAUGCGUAGAUAUCAGGAGGAACACCGGCGGCGAAGGCGGCCUGCUGGUCUGUAACUGACGUUGAGGCUCGAAAGCGUGGGGAGCAAACAGGAUUAGAUACCCCUGUAGUC